This 473-nucleotide ribosomal RNA is filed under the name uncultured bacterium. RNAcentral describes it as "SSU rRNA". It matches the Rfam family "Bacterial small subunit ribosomal RNA", at positions 26 to 518 of the family's 1533-position model. The record is from RNAcentral.
AGGACGAACGCUGGCGGCGUGCUUAACACAUGCAAGUCGAGCGGAAAGGCCCUUCGGGGUACUCGAGCGGCGAACGGGUGAGUAACACGUGAGCAAUCUGCCCUUAGCUUCGGGAUAGCCCCGGGAAACCGGGAUUAAUACCGAAUACGACCUCGGCCGACAUCGGCCUUGGUGGAAAGUUUUUCGGCUAGGGAUGAACUCGCGGCCUAUCAGCUUGUUGGUGGGGUAAUAGCCUACCAAGGCGACGACGGGUAGCCGGCCUGAGAGGGCGACCGGCCACACUGGGACUGAGACACGGCCCAGACUCCUACGGGAGGCAGCAGUGGGGAAUAUUGCGCAAUGGGCGAAAGCCUGACGCAGCGACGCCGCGUGGGGAUGAAGGCCUUCGGGUUGUAAACCCCUUUCAGCAGGGACGAAGCGAGAGUGACGGUACCUGCAGAAGAAGCGCCGGCUAACUACGUGCCAGCAGCCGC